UACGGGGGGGGUAAGCGUUGUUCGGAAUUACUGGGCGUAAAGGGCGCGUAGGCGGUUGGAUAAGUCAGCUGUGAAAACCACGGGCUUAACUCGUGGCCUGCAGUUGAGACUGUCUGGCUUGAGUGUGGGAGAGGAGAGUGGAAUUCCUGGUGUAGCGGUGAAAUGCGUAGAUAUCGGGAGGAACACCAGUGGCGAAGGCGAGUCUCUGGGAUGAUGCUGACGCUGAGGCGCGAAAGCCAGGGGAGCAAACGGG
RNAcentral lists this ribosomal RNA (253 nucleotides) under uncultured bacterium. RNAcentral describes it as "partial 16S ribosomal RNA". It matches the Rfam family "Bacterial small subunit ribosomal RNA", at positions 524 to 776 of the family's 1533-position model. The record is from RNAcentral.